GACGAACGCUGGCGGCGUGCUUAACACAUGCAAGUCGAACGGAAAGGCCCUGCUUUUGUGGGGUGCUCGAGUGGCGAACGGGUGAGUAACACGUGAGUAACCUGCCCUUGACUUUGGGAUAACUUCAGGAAACUGGGGCUAAUACCGGAUAGGAGCUCCUGCUGCAUGGUGGGGGUUGGAAAGUUUCGGCGGUUGGGGAUGGACUCGCGGCUUAUCAGCUUGCUGGUGGGGGAGUGGUUUACCAAGGCAUUGACGGGUAGCCGGCCUGAGAGGGUGACCGGCGACAUUGGGACUGAGAGACGGCCCAGACUCCUACGGGAGGCAGCAGUGGGGAAUAUUGCGCAAUGGGCGGAAGCCUGAUGCAGCAGCGCCGCGUGCGGGAUGACGGCCUUCGGGUUGUAAACCGCUGUCGCCUGUGACGAAGCGUGAGUGACGGUAAUGGGUAAAGAAGCACCGGCUAACUACGUG
Molecule: ribosomal RNA, 468 nt
Filed under: uncultured bacterium
Lineage: Bacteria
Description: partial 16S ribosomal RNA
Rfam family: Bacterial small subunit ribosomal RNA
Source: RNAcentral